GGGUUGUGAGGUUAAGCGACUAAGCGUACACGGUGGAUGCCCUGGCAGUCAGAGGCGAUGAAGGGCGUGCUAAUCUGCGAUAAGCGCCGGUAAGGUGAUAUGAACCGUUAUAACCGGCGAUACCCGAAUGGGGAAACCCAGUGUGAUUCGUCACACUAUCAUUAACUGAAUCCAUAGGUUAAUGAGGCGAACCGGGGGAACUGAAACAUCUAAGUACCCCGAGGAAAAGAAAUCAACCGAGAUUCCCCCAGUAGCGGCGAGCGAACGGGGAGGAGCCCAGAGCCUGAAUCAGCAUGUGUGUUAGUGGAAGCGUCUGGAAAGGCGCGCGAUACAGGGUGACAGCCCCGUACACAAAAGCGCAUGUGCUGUGAGCUCGAUGAGUAGGGCGGGACACGUGGUAUCCUGUCUGAAUAUGGGGGGACCAUCCUCCAAGGCUAAAUACUCCUGACUGACCGAUAGUGAACCAGUACCGUGAGGGAAAGGCGAAAAGAACCCCGGCGAGGGGAGUGAAAAAGAACCUGAAACCGUGUACGUACAAGCAGUGGGAGCCCCACCACUAAGCCAGUGGUGAACUCCACAUCCGCAUCCUUUGCUGAGGAUACGGUUAACGGAGCGAAAGCGACGUUCAACCGCAAAACAAGCAGAGGGGGCUUAGUGGUGGGGUGACUGCGUACCUUUUGUAUAAUGGGUCAGCGACUUAUAUUCUGUAGCAAGGUUAACCGAAUAGGGGAGCCGGAGGGAAACCGAGUCUUAAUUGGGCGUUAAGUUGCAGGGUAUAGACCCGAAACCCGGUGAUCUAGCCAUGGGCAGGUUGAAGGUUGGGUAACACUAACUGGAGGACCGAACCGACUAAUGUUGAAAAAUUAGCGGAUGACCUGUGGCUGGGGGUGAAAGGCCAAUCAAACCGGGAGAUAGCUGGUUCUCCCCGAAAGCUAUUUAGGUAGCGCCUCGUGAAUUCAUCUCCGGGGGUAGAGCACUGUUUCGGCUAGGGGGCCAUCCCGGCUUACCAACCCGAUGCAAACUGCGAAUACCGGAGAAUGUUAUCACGGGAGACACACGGCGGGUGCUAACGUCCGUCGUGAAGAGGGAAACAACCCAGACCGCCAGCUAAGGUCCCAAAGUCAUGGUUAAGUGGGAAACGAUGUGGGAAGGCCCAGACAGCCAGGAUGUUGGCUUAGAAGCAGCCAUCAUUUAAAGAAAGCGUAAUAGCUCACUGGUCGAGUCGGCCUGCGCGGAAGAUGUAACGGGGCUAAACCAUGCACCGAAGCUGCGGCAGCGAACGUAUCACUUAAAGCGAUUCAGCGGGUUACGAUUGACGGAGCGAAGCGACGUCAAAGCGUAUACAAAGUCGAGUCGGUUUAAGGAUACGUUCGUUGGGUAGGGGAGCGUUCUGUAAGCCCGUGAAGGUGGCCUGUGAGGGUUGCUGGAGGUAUCAGAAGUGCGAAUGCUGACAUAAGUAACGAUAAAGCGGGUGAAAAGCCCGCUCGCCGGAAGACCAAGGGUUCCUGUCCAACGUUAAUCGGGGCAGGGUGAGUCGACCCCUAAGGCGAGGCCGAAAGGCGUAGUCGAUGGGAAACGGGUUAAUAUUCCCGUACUUGGUGUUACUGCGAAGGGGGGACGGAGAAGGCUAUGUUGGCCGGGCGACGGUUGUCCCGGUUUAAGCGUGUAGGUGUGUGUUCCAGGUAAAUCCGGUUCACUUUAACACUGAGGCGUGACGACGAGGCACUACGGUGCUGAAGCAACAAAUGCCCUGCUUCCAGGAAAAGCCUCUAAGCAUCAGGUAACACGAAAUCGUACCCCAAACCGACACAGGUGGUCAGGUAGAGAAUACCAAGGCGCUUGAGAGAACUCGGGUGAAGGAACUAGGCAAAAUGGUGCCGUAACUUCGGGAGAAGGCACGCUGACACGUAGGUGAAGUGAUUUACUCAUGGAGCUGAAGUCAGUCGAAGAUACCAGCUGGCUGCAACUGUUUAUUAAAAACACAGCACUGUGCAAACACGAAAGUGGACGUAUACGGUGUGACGCCUGCCCGGUGCCGGAAGGUUAAUUGAUGGGGUCAGCGCAAGCGAAGCUCCUGAUCGAAGCCCCGGUAAACGGCGGCCGUAACUAUAACGGUCCUAAGGUAGCGAAAUUCCUUGUCGGGUAAGUUCCGACCUGCACGAAUGGCGUAAUGAUGGCCAGGCUGUCUCCACCCGAGACUCAGUGAAAUUGAACUCGCUGUGAAGAUGCAGUGUACCCGCGGCAAGACGGAAAGACCCCGUGAACCUUUACUAUAGCUUGACACUGAACAUUGAGCCUUGAUGUGUAGGAUAGGUGGGAGGCUUUGAAGUGUGGACGCCAGUCUGCAUGGAGCCGACCUUGAAAUACCACCCUUUAAUGUUUGAUGUUCUAACGUGGACCCGUAAUCCGGGUUGCGGACAGUGUCUGGUGGGUAGUUUGACUGGGGCGGUCUCCUCCUAAAGAGUAACGGAGGAGCACGAAGGUUGGCUAAUCCUGGUCGGACAUCAGGAGGUUAGUGCAAUGGCAUAAGCCAGCUUGACUGCGAGCGUGACGGCGCGAGCAGGUGCGAAAGCAGGUCAUAGUGAUCCGGUGGUUCUGAAUGGAAGGGCCAUCGCUCAACGGAUAAAAGGUACUCCGGGGAUAACAGGCUGAUACCGCCCAAGAGUUCAUAUCGACGGCGGUGUUUGGCACCUCGAUGUCGGCUCAUCACAUCCUGGGGCUGAAGUAGGUCCCAAGGGUAUGGCUGUUCGCCAUUUAAAGUGGUACGCGAGCUGGGUUUAGAACGUCGUGAGACAGUUCGGUCCCUAUCUGCCGUGGGCGCUGGAGAACUGAGGGGGGCUGCUCCUAGUACGAGAGGACCGGAGUGGACGCAUCACUGGUGUUCGGGUUGUCAUGCCAAUGGCACUGCCCGGUAGCUAAAUGCGGAAGAGAUAAGUGCUGAAAGCAUCUAAGCACGAAACUUGCCCCGAGAUGAGUUCUCCCUGAAGAUGUUUUGG
Molecule: ribosomal RNA, 2996 nt
Filed under: Salmonella enterica subsp. enterica serovar Typhimurium
Lineage: Bacteria; Pseudomonadati; Pseudomonadota; Gammaproteobacteria; Enterobacterales; Enterobacteriaceae
Description: bacterial LSU rRNA
Rfam family: Bacterial large subunit ribosomal RNA
Source: RNAcentral